GACGAACGCUGGCGGCGUGCCUAAUACAUGCAAGUAGAACGCUGAAGAGAGGAGCUUGCUCUUCUUGGAUGAGUUGCGAACGGGUGAGUAACGCGUAGGUAACCUGCCUUGUAGCGGGGGAUAACUAUUGGAAACGAUAGCUAAUACCGCAUAACAAUGGAUGACACAUGUCAUUUAUUUGAAAGGGGCAAUUGCUCCACUACAAGAUGGACCUGCGUUGUAUUAGCUAGUAGGUGAGGUAAUGGCUCACCUAGGCGACGAUACAUAGCCGACCUGAGAGGGUGAUCGGCCACACUGGGACUGAGACACGGCCCAGACUCCUACGGGAGGCAGCAGUAGGGAAUCUUCGGCAAUGGGGGCAACCCUGACCGAGCAACGCCGCGUGAGUGAAGAAGGUUUUCGGAUCGUAAAGCUCUGUUGUAAGUCAAGAACGGGUGUGAGAGUGGAAAGUUCACACUGUGACAGUAGCUUACCAGAAAGGGACGGCUAACUACGUG
RNAcentral lists this ribosomal RNA (497 nucleotides) under uncultured bacterium. RNAcentral's name for it is "partial 16S ribosomal RNA". It matches the Rfam family "Bacterial small subunit ribosomal RNA", at positions 28 to 507 of the family's 1533-position model. The record is from RNAcentral.